Molecule: ribosomal RNA, 484 nt
Filed under: uncultured bacterium
Lineage: Bacteria
Description: partial 16S ribosomal RNA
Rfam family: Bacterial small subunit ribosomal RNA
Source: RNAcentral
AUUGAACGCUGGCGGCAGGCCUAACACAUGCAAGUCGAGCGGAUGAAGGGAGCUUGCUCCUGGAUUCAGCGGCGGACGGGUGAGUAAUGCCUAGGAAUCUGCCUGGUAGUGGGGGAUAACGUCCGGAAACGGGCGCUAAUACCGCAUACGUCCUGAGGGAGAAAGUGGGGGAUCUUCGGACCUCACGCUAUCAGAUGAGCCCAGGUCGGAUUAGCUAGUUGGUGGGGUAAAGGCCUACCAAGGCGACGAUCCGUAACUGGUCUGAGAGGAUGAUCAGUCACACUGGAACUGAGACACGGUCCAGACUCCUACGGGAGGCAGCAGUGGGGAAUAUUGGACGAUGGGCGAAAGCCUGAUCCAGCCAUGCCGCGUGUGUGAAGAAGGUCUUCGGAUUGUAAAGCACUUUAAGUUGGGAGGAAGGGCAGUAAGUUAAUACCUUGCUGUUUUGACGUUACCAACAGAAUAAGCACCGGCUAACUUCGUG